GAGUCGCAUGCUGUAGACCCGAAGCGGGGUGAUCUAGCCAUGGGCAGGGUGAAGCGCCGGUAAGACGGUGUGGAGGCCCGAACCCACCAGGGUUGAAAACCUGGGGGAUGACCUGUGGUUAGGGGUGAAAGGCCAAUCAAACUCCGUGAUAGCUGGUUCUCCCCGAAAUGCAUUUAGGUGCAGCGUCGCGUGGUGCUUGCCGGAGGUAGAGCUACUGGAUGGCCGAUGGGCCCGACAAGGUUACUGACGUCAGCCAAACUCCGAAUGCCGGUAAGUUGAGCGCGGCAGUGAGACCGCGGGGGAUAAGCUUCGUGGUCGAGAGGGAAACAGCCCAGAUCAUCGGCUAAGGCCCCUAAGUGUGUGCUAAGUGGUAAAGGAUGUGGAGUUGCUGUGACAGCCAGGAGGUUGGCUUAGAAGCAGCCAUCCUUGAAAGAGUGCGUAAUAGCUCACUGGUCGAGUGAUUCCGCGCCGACAAUGUAGCGGGGCUUAAGCACGCCGCCGAAGCCGUGGCAUCCCAGCUGUGUGCUGGGGUGGGUAGGGGAGCGUCCUGUACCUGGUGAAGCUGCCGAGUGAUCGUGUGGUGGAGGGUGCAGGAGUGAGAAUGCAGGCAUGAGUAGCGAUUUCACACGUGGGAAACGUGUGCGCCGAUUGACCAAGGGUUCCUGGGGCAGGCUGAUCCGCCCAGGGUAAGUCGGGACCUAAGGCGAGGCCGUGAGGCGUAGUCGAUGGACAACGGGUUGAUAUUCCCGUACCCGCUGGCACGCGCCCAUACCGAACCUUCUGAUGCUAACCACCCGAACCACCUCCUGCUCCUUUGGGGUGGGGGUUUGUGGGGAGGCUGGGGCCCGAGGGGGUAGUAGGUAAGCGAUGGGGUGACGCAGGAGGGUAGCUCAGCCCAGGCGGUGGUUGUCCUGGGGUAAGCAUGUGGCCCGCGUGGUAGGUAAAUCCGCCGCGCAUGCAGGGUGAGGUGCGAUGCCGAGCCGUUUUAGGCGAAGUGAGUGAUCCCAUGCUGCCGAGAAAAGCCUCUAGCGAGUGUGUCGGCGGCCCGUACCCUAAACCGACUCAGGUGGUCAGGUAGAGAAUACCGAGGCGUUCGGGCGAACCGCGGUUAAGGAACUAGGCAAAUUGCCCCCGUAACUUCGGGAGAAGGGGGGCCUCUGCUGGUGUAGGCACGUGCUGCCGAAGCUGGUGGGGGCCGCAGAGAAUAGGCCCAGGCGACUGUUUACUAAAAACACAGGUCCGUGCGAAGUCGUAAGACGAAGUAUACGGACUGACGCCUGCCCGGUGCCGGAACGUUAAGGGGACGGGUUAGCGGCCUUUCGGGGUUGCGAAGCUCGGAACCUAAGCGCCGGUAAACGGCGGUGGUAACUAUAACCAUCCUAAGGUAGCGAAAUUCCUUGUCGGGUAAGUUCCGACCUGCACGAAUGGCGUAACGGCCUGGGCGCUGUCUCGACCGCGGACCCGGCGAAAUUGCACUGCGAGUGAAGAUGCUCGCUACGCGCAGCAGGACGGAAAGACCCCGGGACCUUCACUACAGCUUGGCAUUGGCGUUUGGAGCGGCUUGUGCAGGAUAGGUGGGAGGCCGUGAAGCCCGGACGCCAGUUCGGGUGGAGCCAUCGGUGAGAUACCACUCUGGCCGUUUCUGACGUCUAACCCGCGCCCGUGGAUCCGGGUGGGGGACAGUGCCUGGCGGGUAGUUUAACUGGGGCGGUUGCCUCCUAAAGGGUAACGGAGGCGCCCAAAGGUUCCCUCAGCCUGGUUGGCAAUCAGGUGUUGAGUGUAAGGGCACAAGGGGGCUUGACUGCGAGACAGACGUGUCGAGCAGGCGCGAAAGCAGGGCCUAGUGAUCCGGCGUCGGCAUGUGGAAGC
Molecule: ribosomal RNA, 1869 nt
Filed under: Thermomonospora sp. CIF 1
Lineage: Bacteria; Bacillati; Actinomycetota; Actinomycetes; Streptosporangiales; Thermomonosporaceae
Description: bacterial LSU rRNA
Rfam family: Bacterial large subunit ribosomal RNA
Source: RNAcentral